UAAUAAGUGUUUAUGGCACUUCUUAAAUCCAUAUCCACCUUGUGUGCAAUGUCAGCCGUUUUCUUUAUGAAAGCGGCCAAACAUCAACUUAUUUUUAACUGUCUGUCUGAAAACUAUUAUGAAUAAACAAUUCAAAUA
Molecule: unclassified non-coding RNA, 138 nt
Filed under: soil metagenome
Description: partial internal transcribed spacer 1
Source: RNAcentral